This 776-nucleotide ribosomal RNA is filed under the name Ulota obtusiuscula. RNAcentral describes it as "partial 26S ribosomal RNA". It matches the Rfam family "Eukaryotic large subunit ribosomal RNA", at positions 34 to 801 of the family's 3401-position model. Lineage: Eukaryota; Viridiplantae; Streptophyta; Bryopsida; Orthotrichales; Orthotrichaceae. The record is from RNAcentral.
UUAAGCAUAUCACUGAGCGCAGGAGAAGAAACUAACCAGGAUUUCCCUAGUAACGGCGAGCGAACCGGAAAGAGCCCAGCUUGAAAAUCGUGGCGCCCCGGCGCCUCGAAUUGUAGUCUGGAGAAGGUCCCUCUGCGGCGCGCCGGACCCAAGUUCCCUGGAAAGGGACGCCAUCGAGGGUGAGAGCCCCUUUGAUUCCGGAGUGCGCCGCUCCACGAGGACCUGUCUGCGAGUCGGGCUGUUUGGGAAUGCAGCCCUAAGCGGGUGGUAAAUUCCAUCCAAGGCUAAAUAUUGGCAAGAGACCGAUAGCGAACAAGUACCGCGAGGGAAAGAUGAAAAGGACUUUGAAAAGAGAGUUAAAAAGUGCUUGAAAUUGCUGGGAGGGAAGCGAAUGGAAGCUGCGGGUGCGCCCCGGUUGGAUGUGGAACGGCUGUCAAAGGCUGGUCCGCCGCUCAACGCGGGGCGCUGGUCAGCGUGGGCCAUCGCGGCGGGACAAGAGCGGGGAUUCGUUUCCCGCCGAUGCCGCUGUGGUGGCCGAGGAACGAAGCGCGCGCCUCUGGCGUGGGACUCGUCCCAACUGCGCGCUCGGGACGCUGGCGUAUUGAGCUCUUCAUCCGACCCGUCUUGAAACACGGACCAAGGAGUCUAACAUGUAUGCGAGCCGGUGGGCGGCAAACCCAUUGAGGCGCAAGUAACCUGACAGGUGGGACCCCGACCGCAAGGGAGGGAGCACCAUCGACCGACCGUGAUCUUCUGUGAAGGGUUCGGUGGUGAGC